RNAcentral lists this ribosomal RNA (435 nucleotides) under uncultured Roseateles sp. Its description in RNAcentral is "bacterial SSU rRNA". It matches the Rfam family "Bacterial small subunit ribosomal RNA", at positions 139 to 569 of the family's 1533-position model. The record is from RNAcentral. Lineage: Bacteria; Pseudomonadati; Pseudomonadota; Betaproteobacteria; Burkholderiales; Sphaerotilaceae.
GGGGAUAACUGCUCGAAAGAGCAGCUAAUACCGCAUACGACCUGAGGGUGAAAGCGGGGGAUCGCAAGACCUCGCGCGAUUGGAGCGGCCGAUAUCAGAUUAGGUAGUUGGUGAGGUAAAGGCUCACCAAGCCGACGAUCUGUAGCUGGUCUGAGAGGACGACCAGCCACACUGGGACUGAGACACGGCCCAAACUCCUACGGGAGGCAGCAGUGGGGAAUUUUGGACAAUGGGCGCAAGCCUGAUCCAGCCAUGCCGCGUGCGGGAAGAAGGCCUUCGGGUUGUAAACCGCUUUUGUCAGGGAAGAAAAGGUUCUGGCUAAUACCUGGGACUCAUGACGGUACCUGAACAAUAAGCACCGGCUAACUACGUGCCAGCAGCCGCGGUAAUACGUAGGGUGCAAGCGUUAAUCGGAAUUACUGGGCGUAAAGCGUG